RNAcentral lists this ribosomal RNA (425 nucleotides) under uncultured bacterium. RNAcentral's name for it is "partial 16S ribosomal RNA". It matches the Rfam family "Bacterial small subunit ribosomal RNA", at positions 354 to 796 of the family's 1533-position model. The record is from RNAcentral.
GUGGGGAAUCUUGCGCAAUGGGCGAAAGCCUGACGCAGCCAUGCCGCGUGAAUGAUGAAGGUCUUAGGAUUGUAAAAUUCUUUCACCGGGGACGAUAAUGACGGUACCCGGAGAAGAAGCCCCGGCUAACUUCGUGCCAGCAGCCGCGGUAAUACGAAGGGGGCUAGCGUUGCUCGGAAUUACUGGGCGUAAAGGGCGCGUAGGCGGACAGUUUAGUCAGAGGUGAAAGCCCAGGGCUCAACCUUGGAAUUGCCUUUGAUACUGGCUGUCUUGAGUACGGGAGAGGUGAGUGGAACUCCGAGUGUAGAGGUGAAACUCGUAGAUAUUCGGAAGAACACCAGUGGCGAAGGCGACUCACUGGCCCGUUACUGACGCUGAGGCGCGAAAGCGUGGGGAGCAAACAGGAUUAGAAACCCCGGUAGUCC